CCUAUAGCUCAGUUGGUUAGAGCACCUGACUCAUAAUCAGGUGGUCCACAGUUCGAGUCUGUGU
RNAcentral lists this transfer RNA (64 nucleotides) under marine eukaryotic metagenome. It matches the Rfam family "tRNA", at positions 7 to 64 of the family's 71-position model. Rfam says of the family: Transfer RNA (tRNA) molecules are approximately 80 nucleotides in length. Their secondary structure includes four short double-helical elements and three loops (D, anti-codon, and T loops). The record is from RNAcentral.